RNAcentral lists this long non-coding RNA (298 nucleotides) under Mytilus galloprovincialis (Mediterranean mussel). The record is from RNAcentral. Lineage: Eukaryota; Metazoa; Mollusca; Bivalvia; Mytilida; Mytilidae.
AUUUAUAAUACAAAGGAGGUAUUUAGAUAUGAACUAUUUUCUUUUGUAGUAGUUUAGUUUGUAUUUCAUUGUUUAAAAUUCAUUUUGCAGUAACAUAGUGUGUAUGUUUUGCAGCUAAUUGUUUUUACAGGUGGCAUAAUGAUAUGACAAUAUCUUUAUCGACUUGAGUCAGUAAAAGGAAGUCAAAUAAUGAGGUGGACUUUUAUUUGUAUUUUCAUAACAUUGACAACAUUGUAGUUUUGAGCAAAUGUUUCUUAUCUUAGGGUGAUAGUAAAAUUUGUUUUAUGACAGAAUUUAG